UGCUAUCUGUACUUGUGGAAGCAGGAGACAACUGUAAGGAGAAGAAACCUCAUUGGCUCUUUAAUUUGCUCUUGCAGGGAAAAUAUAGAGAACGCAGGAAAACACCCAGAUUGAGAUUUGGCUGCCCAAGCUGCAAAUACUUAGGAAACCAAACAACUGGCCUGACCUCAAGCACAACCCAAAUUCUCGAACCUCAUAUAAAGUGUGAACCUAAGAUACUUAAGAGAAGCCACUAAUUUCUGGUUCAGAGUGAAAAUAAGGGCACCUACAAAACAGGGAGAGUGAGAACUUCAGGGUUAAGACCCUUCCUGGGUGAUGGAUAAAGGAAGUCAUUGUCCAGAUGAAAGACUCAUGAACUUGGAGACAGGAAUGAAGCCAUUGAAGCAACUUGGACGUCGGGAAUUCACUGAAGACCAGACUAAAGAGGGGCUUGUUCUAAUAGAAAUUCAUCUAAAAAGUUGGAGAUUCUGUAGAAGAUCUGAUGAAGAGGGCCAAUCACUGAGGAAAAAUGGAUAGCAUCCUAAAACAGUGGGUAGUAAGGGAACCGGUAUGUCUGAUCUUUUAAAG
This 567-nucleotide long non-coding RNA is filed under the name Homo sapiens (human). RNAcentral describes it as "HSALNT0385705". The record is from RNAcentral. Lineage: Eukaryota; Metazoa; Chordata; Mammalia; Primates; Hominidae.